GGGCCCGUAGCUCAGCUUGGAUAGAGCGGCACCCUCCUAAGGUGAAGGUCGCGGGUUCAAAUUCGGUUUGAUCCG
RNAcentral lists this transfer RNA (75 nucleotides) under Candidatus Micrarchaeum sp. AZ1. It matches the Rfam family "tRNA". Rfam says of the family: Transfer RNA (tRNA) molecules are approximately 80 nucleotides in length. Lineage: Archaea; Nanobdellati; Microcaldota; Candidatus Micrarchaeia; Candidatus Micrarchaeales; Candidatus Micrarchaeaceae. The record is from Rfam by way of RNAcentral.